CAAACCAAAGCUGGCGACCGGCGCACGGGUGAGUAACACGUAUCCAACCUGCCUCAUACUCGGGGAUAGCCUUUCGAAAGAAAGAUUAAUAUCCGAUAGCAUAUAUUUCCCGCAUGGGUUUUAUAUUAAAGAAAUUCGGUAUGAGAUGGGGAUGCGUUCCAUUAGUUUGUUGGGGGGUAACGGCCCACCAAGACUACGAUGGAUAGGGGUUCUGAGAGGAAGGUCCCCCACAUUGGAACUGAGACGCGGUCCAA
This 254-nucleotide ribosomal RNA is filed under the name uncultured bacterium. RNAcentral describes it as "partial 16S ribosomal RNA". It matches the Rfam family "Bacterial small subunit ribosomal RNA", at positions 74 to 334 of the family's 1533-position model. The record is from RNAcentral.